This 508-nucleotide ribosomal RNA is filed under the name uncultured Glomus. RNAcentral's name for it is "SSU rRNA". It matches the Rfam family "Eukaryotic small subunit ribosomal RNA", at positions 569 to 1090 of the family's 1831-position model. Lineage: Eukaryota; Fungi; Glomeromycota; Glomeromycetes; Glomerales; Glomeraceae. The record is from RNAcentral.
AGCAGCCGCGGUAAUUCCAGCUCCAAUAGCGUAUAUUAAAGUUGUUGCAGUUAAAAAGCUCGUAGUUGAAUUUCAGGGUCAGUAGGUUGGUCAUGCCACGGGUAUGUACUGAUCUUACCGAUUCCUCCUUCCUGAUGAACCGUAAUGCCAUUAAUUUGGUGUUGCGGGGAAACUGGACUGUUACUUUGAAAAAUUGAGUGUUUAAAGCAGGCUAACGCUUGAAUACAUUAGCAUGGAAUAAUGAAAUAGGACGUUCGAUCCUAUUUUGUUGGUUUCUAGGAUUGACGUAAUGAUUAAUAGGGAUAGUUGGGGGCAUUAGUAUUCAAUUGUCAGAGGUNAAAUUCUUGGAUUUAUUGAAGACUAACUACUGCGAAAGCAUUUGCCAAGAUGUUUCAUUAAUCAAGAACGAAAGUUAGGGAUCGAAGACGAUCAGAUACCGUCGUAGUACUUAACCAUAAACUAUAGACCGACGUAGGGAUCGGAUGUAUUAGUUUAAUUUUUAUGUACU